Long non-coding RNA from Leopardus geoffroyi (Geoffroy's cat), 287 nucleotides. RefSeq lists it as uncharacterized. The transcript has 2 exons. Lineage: Eukaryota; Metazoa; Chordata; Mammalia; Carnivora; Felidae. The record is from RefSeq and is a predicted model, not a curated record.
CCCGCGACGCGCGCGCGCGGAAGUAGUCGCUGCGCGCCGCCAGCACCGCCUUGUGCGCCCGCAGCCGGCGGCCGGACACCUCGAUGACCAGUCUUUUCCAGUUGAUUCAAAUUAAGUGGCAAAAGAUACUUGGAGGAAGGACCUGCUCUGGAGCUGGCCUCAGAGGCCUAACUCCGAAAUCGGUCUGCACUGCUCAUUCUUGGAAUCGUGUCUUUAAAACCUCAGGGAAGCAAUUCCCCACAAACAGUCCAUGCACAGCAAAACAAAAGCCAAAGCAACAACAACAA